GAAAUGCGAUAAGUAGUGUGAAUUGCAGAAUUCAGUGAAUCAUCGAAUCUUUGAACGCACAUUGCGCCUUCUGGUAUUCCGGGAGGCAUGCCUGUUCGAGCGUCAUCAAACACAUCCUCAAGCACUUGUGCUUGGUCCUGGAGGAAGAUGUCCGCAUCUCCUCUCAAAUCUCUCAGCGGAAAGUACUGCAGUCUCAGGUGUUAUAAGAUUAACUUUUGCUUGAUAACUGUUGGUAGAUUCUUGCUGUGAGGAGGCCCCCCAGCUAUUCUUUGAAGUUUGACCUCGAAUCAGGUAGGGAUACCCGCUGAACUUAA
Molecule: unclassified non-coding RNA, 314 nt
Filed under: uncultured Ascomycota
Lineage: Eukaryota; Fungi; Ascomycota
Description: sequence contains ITS1
Rfam family: 5.8S ribosomal RNA (bases 1-105)
Source: RNAcentral